ACACAAGCGGCGCACCGUUAAGAUGGCGGCUGGGCUGCGGAAACGCGGCCGGUCCGGUUCCGCGGCCCAGGCAGCGGGACUCUGCAAGCAAUGGCUGCAGCGCGCCUGGCAAGAUCGGCGCCUGCUGCUGCGGGAGCCGCGCUACACGCUGCUGGUGGCCGCCUGCCUCUGCCUGGCGGAGGUACCCAGCUGGUUUCGUGUACAUCUUUAUGGGGUUGUACUAUGCCACCAGCCGAGGCACUGACAUCCGCAUGGCCCAGAACAUCUUUGCUGUGCUCUACCUGGCUACCUUGCUGCUUGUCUUCUUGAUCUAUCACCAGACCUGCAAGGUACCUCCCUUCGUCUUUUUCUUCAUGUGCUGCGCCUCUUACCGUGUCCACUCCAUCUUUGUGCUGCGGCUCUUCAAUGACCCAGUGGCUAUGGUGCUGCUCUUCCUCAGUAUCAACCUCCUGCUGGCCCAGCGCUGGGGCUGGGGCUGCUGCUUUUUCAGGUCAACACCUCUUCCUUCUGGCCCCCUCUCGUUUUCUGCAUUUCCAUCUCUUCCCAAUUUCCUGCAGCAGAUGGAGUAAAGGAGUAGCCAAGACAGCGUGGGUCACUCAGGGCUCCACAAAGCGAGUCCAGGAUCUAUAGAAAGUUUCUGCCCUGCCAUCCCCCAACAUACACACAUGCCCUCUUUCCAUCCUGUCUUCCUCCCAGACAGCAUUCCUUGUUGGAAUUAGUCCUUCACAUUCUAAAUACUCAGUAUAUGCUCAUUCGCAUAUAGUAGGCAUAGAGACUAUGCAUCUGCCUCCUGCCUACUCCAGGCUCUUCCCUCCAACAGUUGUGAGUGUAGGUCCCAUCCUGGAGUUUGCUGGCGUGGCGGCAGGGGGAGGUUGCUGUGGUGAUGGUGGGAGGUAUGUCUUUGGGUG
This 908-nucleotide small RNA is filed under the name Pongo abelii (Sumatran orangutan). Its description in RNAcentral is "retained intron". Lineage: Eukaryota; Metazoa; Chordata; Mammalia; Primates; Hominidae. The record is from RNAcentral.